GCAUAUUGCUUUCUCUGACGACUGUACUCGCUGCUUCCAGUUCUUUCUGGAGAGCUUUUCGAGUGGUCCUCGGCUCUUGGGCUUCUCCUCGGCGUAACUUUCUGUCAGCCCUGUCAGAAAUCUUGCGAGGAGCUCCUGCGUGUGGCCGGUUGAUAGUCGCCUAAUGGUGCUUAAAGGAACAUUUGGGAGUAAUUCUUUGGAGAGCGCUUUGCUUCUACUCAUCAUGAGAUGUUUCUUGCGCGACAGUUUGGUGACAAAUGAUUUGUUUACUUGUAUUCAGAGACUUGUCCAGCGCUAGAAGAACCAGAGAGCUGCUUCACAGAAGAAAGAAGAAGAAGAAGAAGCAGAAGGAGGAAAUGAGGUGCGUAUGAAAAAACUGGUUUACGUGAUGAAUCAUUCCAUUUAUACUUGAAUAAUGUCUCCAAGCUGCAGUUAGCGUUAGCCUAGCAGGUAUAUAUUAUUAGAAUAUAUUACUGAAACAGUGUUAACUUGAAUAACGAAGGCUGCGGUUCACUCUACAGGUAAGUAUUUAAAGACUACACCAUGUUGUUCUAUGCGUUUUGUUCACAGAGAGCUUUUUAGUGAAGCCGUGAGCUGCUGAAUGAUUUCUGAGUUUUUAAUUUAAUCUCUGAUCCAGAAUCCUAAAUUGUGGUGGUCUCCUUUACCUACCGUGUAGUGAUUAGAAGACUAUCAUGAUUCAGUGAUCCCGUGUGUGAAGCUGCUCCGUUUUGUACUCUGUAUAGCAAUAAAAAUACACAACCAUUUUAUCAUGAGAUCUGCUGGACAAUUUAAAAAUAAAUAAAUAAAUCAG
This is a long non-coding RNA of Ictalurus punctatus (channel catfish), 811 nucleotides long. The record is from Ensembl. NCBI's taxonomy places the organism in Eukaryota, Metazoa, Chordata, Actinopteri, Siluriformes, Ictaluridae.